AUACGUAGGGUGCGAGCGUUGUCCGGAAUUACUGGGCGUAAAGAGCUCGUAGGUGGUUUGUCGCGUCGUCUGUGAAAUUCCGGGGCUUAACUCCGGGCGUGCAGGCGAUACGGGCAUAACUUGAGUACUGUAGGGGAGACUGGAAUUCCUGGUGUAGCGGUGAAAUGCGCAGAUAUCAGGAGGAACACCGGGGGCGAAGGCGGGUCUCUGGGCAGUAACUGACGCUGAGGAGCGAAAGCAUGGGUAGCGAACAGGAUUAGAUACCCUGGUAGUCCAUGCUGUAAACGGCGGGCGCUAGGUGUAGGGGUCUUCCACGACUUCUGUGCCGUAGCUAACGCAUUAAGCGCCCCGCCUGGGGAGUACGGCCGCAAGGCUAAAACUCAAAGGAAUUGACGGGG
This 398-nucleotide ribosomal RNA is filed under the name uncultured bacterium. Its description in RNAcentral is "partial 16S ribosomal RNA". It matches the Rfam family "Bacterial small subunit ribosomal RNA", at positions 523 to 918 of the family's 1533-position model. The record is from RNAcentral.